CGGAGGGUGCGAGCGUUGUCCGGAAUCACUGGGCGUAAAGGGCGCGUAGGCGGCCCGAUAAGUAGGGGGUGAAAUCCUGCGGCUUAACCGCAGGGCUGCCUUCUAAACUGUCAGGCUAGAGCACAGUAGAGGCAGGUGGAAUUCCCGGUGUAGCGGUGGAAUGCGUAGAGAUCGGGAAGAACAUCAGUGGCGAAGGCGGCCUGCUGGGCUGUUGCUGACGCUGAGGCGCGACAGCGUGGGGAGCAAACAGGAUUAGAUACCCUGGUAGUCCACGCCGUAAACGAUGGGCACUAGGCGUCGGGGGGAGCGACCCUCCCGGUGCCGUCGCUAACGCAGUAAGUGCCCCGCCUGGGGAGUACGGCCGCAAGGCUG
Molecule: ribosomal RNA, 372 nt
Filed under: uncultured organism
Description: bacterial SSU rRNA
Rfam family: Bacterial small subunit ribosomal RNA
Source: RNAcentral